CCCCCCCCGUUAACCUAACACUAGAGCAUUACUGGAAAGAUUAAAAGAAAAAGAAGGAACUCGGCAAACAAUGGCCUCGCCUGUUUACCAAAAACAUCGCCUCUUGUUACCCCUAAGAGGUCCCGCCUGCCCAGUGACUNCUGUUCAACGGCCGCGGUAUCCUAACCGUGCAAAGGUAGCGUAAUCACUUGUCUUUUAAAUAAAGACUAGUAUGAAAGGCGCCACGAGGGCUAAGCUGUCUCCUUUUUCUAAUCAGUGAAUCUGAUCCCCCUGUGAAGAAGCAGGGAUAUUCGUAUAAGACGAGAAGACCCUAUGGAGCUUAAAACACCACAACACCUGCUGNACUUUUAGAGUACUAGACUCAUCACCCACACAGCACACUGAUUGUGAGUUUUUGGUUGGGGUGACCGCGGAGAAUAACUAAUCCUCCACAGCGAAUGGGGAUUUCCUUAAACAAUAAGUUACAACUUUAUGUAUCAAUAAAUUGACACCCAUUGACCCAAUACACUUGAUCAACGAACCAAGUUACCCUAGGGAUAACAGCGCAAUCCACUUUAAGAGCUCCUAUCGACAAGUGGGCUUACGACCUCGAUGUUGGAUCGGGRUAUCCUAGUGGUGUAGUCGCUACUAAGGGUUCGUUUGUUCAACGAUUAAAAUCCCACGUGAUCUGAGUUCAGACCGGAGUAAUCCAGGUCAGUUUCUAUCUAUAAGGAGCUUUUUUCAGUACGAAAGGACCAAAAUAGCACGGCCAAUACUGCUUCAAGCCGUAACUAGUUAUUUUUGACUCAACUAAAAAAAUUCACUACUCCCCGACCCACCC
This 820-nucleotide ribosomal RNA is filed under the name Pristimantis enigmaticus. RNAcentral's name for it is "partial large subunit ribosomal RNA". The record is from RNAcentral. Lineage: Eukaryota; Metazoa; Chordata; Amphibia; Anura; Strabomantidae.